UACAGGGGGGGCAAGCGUUGUUCGGAAUUACUGGGCGUAAAGGGUCUGUAGGUGGCCAACUAAGUCAUACGUGAAAUCCCUCAGCUUAACUGGGGAACUGCGUGUGAUACUGGAUGGCUUGGAUUUGGGAGAGGGAUGCGGAAUUCCAGGUGUAGCGGUGAAAUGCGUAGAUAUCUGGAGGAACACCGGUGGCGAAGGCGGCAUCCUGGACCAAUAUUGACGCUGAGGAGCGAAAGCCAGGGGAGCAAACGGG
Molecule: ribosomal RNA, 253 nt
Filed under: uncultured bacterium
Lineage: Bacteria
Description: partial 16S ribosomal RNA
Rfam family: Bacterial small subunit ribosomal RNA
Source: RNAcentral